Molecule: long non-coding RNA, 433 nt
Filed under: Volvox carteri
Lineage: Eukaryota; Viridiplantae; Chlorophyta; Chlorophyceae; Chlamydomonadales; Volvocaceae
Description: long non-coding RNA (VCAR_LNC002719)
Source: RNAcentral
CUCGCUGUCGACGUCCUCCUCGCACUCAGUGUGCUCCUCGCCGCCGGAAAGGCGCGCGGGACGCACGUGAGAGCUUUUUCGGCUCAUCCUUGGGGAGGUACAUACUUUUGUGAAUCCGGCAGGACUAUCGCUGCGCAGCCUUGGAGGUCGAGGUCGAGCUGCGCUGCUGCGCCGCCGCGACAAGGGCCCGCCGCUGCUGCUCGCUACGGCAACAGCGGCGGCGGCGGCGGCGGCGCCGCCAGUGAAAGCGCUAGGCUUUGACCCGACGGAGGGCUGUGUUCGCAGACCACCGGCCUGCGUGGACAGCUGCGCUCGCAACGCCCCCGGCUGGGUUGAUAACCUGGUCCGAAGCAGGCCAGCUUGUGUGGAUAGCUGGGUUCGAAGGACGCUUGAACGGUUGCUCCUCUCGGACUUUUGAGUCGCGAGCUCGUUG